RNAcentral lists this ribosomal RNA (421 nucleotides) under uncultured eukaryote. RNAcentral describes it as "SSU rRNA". It matches the Rfam family "Eukaryotic small subunit ribosomal RNA", at positions 592 to 1018 of the family's 1831-position model. The record is from RNAcentral.
CAAUAGCGUAUAUUAAAGUUGUUGCAGUUAAAAAGCUCGUAGUUGGAUCUCGGGUCCAGGCUUGUGGUGCAGCUUAGGCUGCUUACUGCUCGUCCUGACCUACCUACCGGUUUUCCCUUGGUGCUCUUAAGUGAGUGUCUUGGGUGGCCGGAACGUUUACUUUGAAAAAAUUAGAGUGCUCAAAGCAGGCUUAUGCCUGAAUAUUAGUGCAUGGAAUAAUUGAAUAGGACCUCGGUUCUAUUUUGUUGGUUUUCGGAACUCGAGGUAAUGAUUAAGAGGGACAGACGGGGGCAUUCGUAUUACGGUGUUAGAGGUGAAAUUCUUGGAUCGCCGUAAGACGAACUACUGCGAAAGCAUUUGCCAAGAAUGUUUUCAUUAGUCAAGAACGAAAGUCAGAGGUUCGAAGACGAUCAGAUACCAU